UCGCCAAGCUUUGCCAAAACGCUAGGCAGCAACGAGAAGCGAACGUCACUGGCCGCAUCAGUCGACAUCAAAUGAUGAAACUGUGCUCAUCUCGCAGCAACUGCACUCUGUUGAAUGUUGUGAUCGAUCAACGACUUAGAAUUGACACCUGUCGAUAUCUAAUGGAAAUUCAGUCGCGUCGUCUAGCGGGAGAAUAGAACAAAAUUCUUACACAAAAAAGCAGCAGCAGCAUCGUAGAGCGUAGCGAUAAUAAAUAAGUUAAAUAAGAAAUACUAAAUUUAGUGGGAGAGAAGCUAAAGAAGACUGAAAGAAAAAGUUAUAAAUAAAAAUUAAAAAGUAUCAACAAAAAAGCAGCAAUAUGCUUGUAGUAUUUAUGCAAGUCUAAGAGCGAGGAAAGUGAAAAACAUUGUUCGUACGUUUUUUAUUGGCAAAAGUAAAAGCAAAUAAAGAAAAUAAUAAAAUACAUAAUAUAUUUUCGUAUACUCGUAUAAUAUAAUAUUGAUUGGCAAGCGAGUAUUAACGGACUUGUUAGACGGCCAGCAGCAUUUGCGUUUCUCACUGUGAAUUAUUAUUGUACUGUGAAGAAUUGAAAAAAAUUCCAAAAAUUAUUUUUAAAAAAUCAAGAAAAAACCCAAAAAAAUUUUAAAACUCAAAAAAAAAAAUUAAAAUAAGAAAUUUUAAAAACUCAAAAAAAAAUUUUUUUUAAUUCAAAAAUUAAAAAAAAAUAAAUAGUAAAGUGUACCAAAACAACAAAGAAAAAGCAACAAAAAUUUUAAGUAAAAUAUAUAUUUGAAAGAAUUUUGAAACACUCGCUGCCUAGCACGCGCAAAACCUGGUUAGACCUGUUCCUACAUCUAUGGAGUUUCAUCUAGACAGUGCAGAAUACUGCCAAGCACAGCACAAAUAAAAAGGAAAAGAGUUUGCAAAACAGCGAAAGAAACGUAAAAAGGACGAGAGUUGGAACUUGUUGGAAGCGCGUCCAGUUGGGAGACAGUUAGACAGGAGAUAGCAGUGAUAGCGCGCGGUACGAGAAAGCAAGCGAGAUUUAGCGUAGAAACAAUUUUCGAAUUUUCUUUAAAACAACCAACUAAUUGGAUUUUCAAACAAGUGUUUGCUGAGGCAGUAAGAAAGAGAGAAAGCUACUACAAAAAGCGCGCAUAUCAGAAGAAUUGGUAUAUACAAUUUCGGUUUUAGCUAAAACAAACAAACAAAACAAGCAAAAGAAAGCAAAAAGCAACGAAAAGAGCAGAUUAAUUGACAGAAUUAUUGCGAAAUUAAAUUGUAUAAUUAAGAGUAAUUGUUGUACAAUUAAAGAGUAAUUGCUAUACAAUUGAAGAGUAAUUAAACUACAACUACUAAAAAGUCAACAGGGAUUUCGUAACGGCUGAAAAUCAGGCAGGUUUUGUGCAAACAAACAACAACAAAAAAGCAAGCAAAAGCUGCAAAGAAAAACUAUUUUUGAAAAACUUUUUUCUAAUUACUUUUUUGUGAUAAUUUUUAAGCUAAAAAUAUAUAAAUACCAACAACAACUCUUGAACUCCCAAAAACAAAAACAAAGAACCUACUAAAAUAUUGUACUUAAUUUUAAAUUUUUGCGCUAAUUACAAAACAAUUUCCGUAUAAAAGCUUCAAUUUGCACAUUAAAUACUUAAAUUAUAUUUAUACAAAAUAUUUACAAAAAAAAAAAACAACAAAAUUAAUUAGCAUAAACUGCUGCAAGUGUUAUUUAUACACACAACUUCCGAUUUAUUGAAAGCAAACAAGAAGAAAGCAAAGCAAAAACAAGAAAAGAGAAUUAAAUAAAAUUUGCAGUCCAGUUUUGUGACAGAGGUUUUCAUUAUAUAUACAGACUUUGGAGCGAUCACUGUCAAAUUUGUAACAAAAACAGUCGACGCGCAGCCGCCAAAGCGUAAAAUUUUACAAAACAGCAGAACCACAGAACCUAACCUACAAAGUCAAGUAAAAAACACAUAGACAAAAACAACAAAACACCUCAGCGCUUGAAAGCAAAAGACAGCCGCAGAGCAUAAAUAGUAAAAGUGUGGAGCGUGAGCGCUAAAACAACAACGUACUUCUACAACAAAAAAUAUUAUCUUUAAUACCAAAAAAAAAAAAUAAA
Bactrocera neohumeralis is the source of this 2119-nucleotide RNA transcript. RefSeq lists it as uncharacterized. The record is from RefSeq and is a predicted model, not a curated record. Lineage: Eukaryota; Metazoa; Arthropoda; Insecta; Diptera; Tephritidae. The transcript is spliced from 4 exons.